Molecule: ribosomal RNA, 254 nt
Filed under: Notiocoelotes pseudolingulatus
Lineage: Eukaryota; Metazoa; Arthropoda; Arachnida; Araneae; Agelenidae
Description: partial 12S ribosomal RNA
Source: RNAcentral
AUCGAUAACCCNNGUUAANUUUCACUUCAAUUCAAAAUUUAUAUACCGCCAUCUUAAAAAUCAAUUCAAAAAUAUUUCUUCAAACAAUAUAUAAUAAGUUAGGUCAAGGUGUAAUCAACAUUAAAGAAAAAGAUAAAUUACAUUAAACAUUAUUCAAAAAAUAUAAACCAAAACAAAUAUUAAUAAGAAUUUAAAAGCAAUAUUAAAAAUAUUAAUUUAAUAUGAAUUAGACAAUAAAUGUGCACACAUCGCCC